AGCACCAUUUGCUCGCACUGCUUCAAAUGGGCCUUGCCUGUCGCCGGCUCGUUGGAGAAGUGGCCAGGCAGGAAGACCAGGGGCUCCCGCCCUGUCAGCCUAGAUGUGAACACACACAAAAAAAAGGCUGAACUACACAGGUGGCCAAUCCUCCAAAGAGUUGUUACCUUGGAAACGCCACCCUAUGUAUUUAUAGAGCGCCACAGUGCGAAAAGAGAGCGGCGGGCAGAGUGCUGCUGAGGGUCCUUUUCAGCAGGGAUGUUUUGGCUUGGCCUACUUUUUGGAGGAGCGUCCCUGCAGACUGGAUGGAAGGUGCCUAUGGACCAGCUGGACGUGCUGGACAAACCGGUAUGUGUUGUGUAAUUGAUGCGCGGCGUGAGCAUCCAUUAUUCAUCCGUUCUGGUCGUGAAUCGGCUCUCAUCCGCUUUUAUCUUUCCAUCUUCUGACAUUUCACUUUUUCCCCUCUUCCUCGGUCGCCGGUUAUUACCUUCAACGGUGUGCGGCAAACAAACAAAAUAGGUGAUGCUCAUGUAUUAUUGUUUAUUUACCAACGGUUUCACAGCAGUUGACACUUGUAGCUUAUAGACAACCCCUGCUGUUUAAUAAAAUACAUUUUUACAACAAUAACAAAUGCAAAAAUGUAUAUUUAGGUACAGCCUUGAUGUGAUGCGGAAUAUUUCCGUCAGAACUCAUUGAGGUAGCAUAUUUCAGUGACUUUGCGCAUUCUCACACUAUUAUCGGUCAACAUGUGCUGCUCCACUGUUUGUGUUGAAAUAUCCAUUGUUGUUUCCGAAAUCAAACUGACUAACGAUGCUAACUGUUUUGGGUUGUUAGCAUCAAGC
Molecule: long non-coding RNA, 842 nt
Organism: Syngnathus typhle (broad-nosed pipefish)
Lineage: Eukaryota; Metazoa; Chordata; Actinopteri; Syngnathiformes; Syngnathidae
Exons: 3
Source: RefSeq, a predicted model, not a curated record